This 72-nucleotide transfer RNA is filed under the name Bos taurus (domestic cattle). It matches the Rfam family "tRNA". From Rfam's summary of the family: Transfer RNA (tRNA) molecules are approximately 80 nucleotides in length. Their secondary structure includes four short double-helical elements and three loops (D, anti-codon, and T loops). RNAcentral also lists the same sequence under 3 other names. The record is from Rfam by way of RNAcentral. Lineage: Eukaryota; Metazoa; Chordata; Mammalia; Artiodactyla; Bovidae.
UCCUUGGUAGCUCAGAUGGUAAAGAAUCUGCCUGCAAUGCAGGAGACGCUGGUUCAAUUCCUGGUCAGGAAG